AUACGGGGGGUGCAAGCGUUGUCCGGAAUCAUGGGGCGUAAAGGGUUCGUAGGUGGAAUUAUAAGUCUGGUGUGAAAGCCCACAGCUCAACUGUGGAACUGCACUGGAUACUGUUUUUCUUGAGUUAUAGAGGGGUUUGUGGAAUUUCUGGUGUAGAGGUGAAAUUUGUAGAGAUCAGAAAGAACACCGGUGGCGAAGGCGACAAACUGGCUAUUAACUGACACUGAGGAACGAAAGCGUGGGGAGCGAACAGGAUUAGAAACCCUAGUAGUCC
This 274-nucleotide ribosomal RNA is filed under the name uncultured bacterium. RNAcentral's name for it is "partial 16S ribosomal RNA". It matches the Rfam family "Bacterial small subunit ribosomal RNA", at positions 523 to 796 of the family's 1533-position model. The record is from RNAcentral.